AUUGAACGCUGGCGGCAGGCCUAACACAUGCAAGUCGAACGGUAACAGGAAGAAGCUUGCUUCUUUGCUGACGAGUGGCGGACGGGUGAGUAAUGUCUGGGAAACUGCCUGAUGGAGGGGGAUAACUACUGGAAACGGUAGCUAAUACCGCAUAACGUCGCAAGACCAAAGAGGGGGACCUUCGGGCCUCUUGCCAUCGGAUGUGCCCAGAUGGGAUUAGCUAGUAGGUGGGGUAACGGCUCACCUAGGCGACGAUCCCUAGCUGGUCUGAGAGGAUGACCAGCCACACUGGAACUGAGACACGGUCCAGACUCCUACGGGAGGCAGCAGUGGGGAAUAUUGCACAAUGGGCGCAAGCCUGAUGCAGCCAUGCCGCGUGUAUGAAGAAGGCCUUCGGGUUGUAAAGUACUUUCAGCGGGGAGGAAGGGAGUAAAGUUGAUACCUUUGCUCAUUGACGUUACCCGCAGAAGAAGCACCGGCUAACUCCGUG
Molecule: ribosomal RNA, 490 nt
Filed under: uncultured bacterium
Lineage: Bacteria
Description: partial 16S ribosomal RNA
Rfam family: Bacterial small subunit ribosomal RNA
Source: RNAcentral